Molecule: long non-coding RNA, 370 nt
Organism: Cygnus olor (mute swan)
Lineage: Eukaryota; Metazoa; Chordata; Aves; Anseriformes; Anatidae
Exons: 3
Source: RefSeq, a predicted model, not a curated record
UCGUGAUCUCCUUGGAGCUGCAUCCUGGCUUGGUAUGUGCAUUUCUAGGUCUCCCUUGAAACAAGCGUGCUGCAUCAGAGGAGAGCAACAAAAGACGGUGAGGUGCCACAGCUGCCUUGCUGAGGACGCUAAGCCACGUUGGAGAAGCCACGUGUGGUCAAGCAUCAUCAUAGCUCUGCUGCUGGCCACAAAGGCACUAGCUACCAGCUGCAUGGAUGGGAAGGCUCCUGCCAGGCUGAGGAAACACACAAGUGGUAUUUAAGUGGAGAUGCGUUUUGCCUCUGCAGCCACACAGUGCCGACAUCUCAGGUAUAAUGCUUCUUAGAGAGUCACAAGGUGGCCUUUGGUCUCUUUUCCUUCAUGAACCCAA